GAUGAAGAACGCAGCGAAAUGCGAUAAGUAAUGUGAAUUGCAGAAUUCAGUGAAUCAUCGAAUCUUUGAACGCACAUUGCGCCCGCCAGUAUUCUGGCGGGCAUGCCUGUUCGAGCGUCAUUUCAACCAUCAAGCCCCGGGCUUGUGUUGGGGACCUGCGGCUGCCGCAGGCCCUGAAAUGCAGUGGCGGGCUCGCUGUCACUCCGAGCGUAGUAGUUACAUCUCGCUCUGGGCGUGCUGCGGGUUCCGGCCGUUAAAAGCCUUAUUUACCCAAGGUUGACCUCGGAUCAGGUAGGAAGACCCGCUGAACUUAAGCAUAUCAAAAGCGGAGA
Molecule: unclassified non-coding RNA, 332 nt
Filed under: soil metagenome
Description: partial contains 5.8S ribosomal RNA, internal transcribed spacer 2, and large subunit ribosomal RNA
Rfam family: 5.8S ribosomal RNA (bases 1-120)
Source: RNAcentral